This 427-nucleotide ribosomal RNA is filed under the name uncultured bacterium. Its description in RNAcentral is "partial 16S ribosomal RNA". It matches the Rfam family "Bacterial small subunit ribosomal RNA", at positions 354 to 796 of the family's 1533-position model. The record is from RNAcentral.
GUGGGGAAUAUUGGGCAAUGGGGGAAACCCUGACCCAGCGACGCCGCGUGAGGGAAGACGGCCUUCGGGUUGUAAACCUCUUUUGUACGGGAAGAAGGAAGUGACGGUACUGUACGAAUAAGUCCCGGCUAACUACGUGCCAGCAGCCGCGGUAAUACGUAGGGGACGAGCGUUGUCCGGAAUUACUGGGCGUAAAGGGCGCGCAGGCUGUGCUGCAAGUCAGCUGUGAAAUGUCUGGGCUUAACCCGGGCAUGCGGUUGAGACUGCAGUGCUGGAGUGCUGUAGAGGCAAGUGGAAUUCCCAGUGUAGCGGUGAAAUGCGUAGAUAUUGGGAAGAACACCGGUGGCGAAGGCGACUUGCUGGCCAGCAACUGACGUUGAGGCGCGAAAGCCAGGGGAGCAAACGGGAUUAGAAACCCUGGUAGUCC